RNAcentral lists this transfer RNA (72 nucleotides) under Amphiamblys sp. WSBS2006. It matches the Rfam family "tRNA". From Rfam's summary of the family: Transfer RNA (tRNA) molecules are approximately 80 nucleotides in length. The record is from Rfam by way of RNAcentral. Lineage: Eukaryota; Fungi; Microsporidia; Amphiacanthidae.
GGCUUUGUAGCUUAGUGGUAAAGCGUGGCUCUCGUAAAGCCAAGACCCAGGGUUCAAAUCCCUGCAAAGCCU